UAAAUACUAAUACCAGAUCGAUAGUGCACAAGUACCGUGAGGGAAAGGUGAAAAGAACUGAGGUGAUCAGAGUGAAAUAGAACCUGAAACCAUUUGCUUACAAUCAUUCAGAGCCCUAUGUAGCAAUACAGGGUGAUGGACUGCCUUUUGCAUAAUGAGCCUGCGAGUUGUGGUGUCUGGCAAGGUUAAGCAAACGCGAAGCCGUAGCGAAAGCGAGUCUGAAUAGGGCGCUUAGUCAGAUGCUGCAGACCCGAAACGAAGUGAUCUAUCCAUGAGCAAGUUGAAGCUAGUGUAAGAACUAGUGGAGGACUGAACCCAUAGGCGUUGAAAAGCCCCGGGAUGACUUGUGGAUAGGGGUGAAAGGCCAAUCAAACUUCGUGAUAGCUGGUUCUCUCCGAAAUAUAUUUAGGUAUAGCGUUGUGUCGUAAUAUAAGGGGGUAGAGCACUGAAUGGGCUAGGGCAUACACCAAUGUACCAAACCCUAUCAAACUCCGAAUACCUUAUAUGUAAUCACAGCAGUCAGGCGGCGAGUGAUAAAAUCCGUCGUCAAGAGGGAAACAACCCAG
Molecule: ribosomal RNA, 566 nt
Filed under: Campylobacter coli
Lineage: Bacteria; Pseudomonadati; Campylobacterota; Epsilonproteobacteria; Campylobacterales; Campylobacteraceae
Also listed under: 1 other name
Description: partial 23S ribosomal RNA
Rfam family: Bacterial large subunit ribosomal RNA
Source: RNAcentral